Molecule: ribosomal RNA, 180 nt
Filed under: Triticum aestivum (bread wheat)
Lineage: Eukaryota; Viridiplantae; Streptophyta; Magnoliopsida; Poales; Poaceae
Description: partial small subunit ribosomal RNA
Source: RNAcentral
AUGGCCACGCUCUCACCUGGGCAGCGGCAGCAGCCGGGCGUGGACCGCCUCAGUGCGCUGCCCGACGAACUCCUUGUGACCAUCCUGGAUGGCCUAGACACCCGCUCCGCGCUCGCCACCACCGUCCUAGCCAAGCGCUGGACGCACCUCCCUCGCCUUCUCAGCGCACUCGAGUUUAGG